This 476-nucleotide non-coding RNA is filed under the name uncultured Glomus. RNAcentral's name for it is "SSU rRNA". It matches the Rfam family "Eukaryotic small subunit ribosomal RNA", at positions 569 to 1043 of the family's 1831-position model. Lineage: Eukaryota; Fungi; Glomeromycota; Glomeromycetes; Glomerales; Glomeraceae. The record is from RNAcentral. RNAcentral also lists the same sequence under 1 other name.
AGCAGCCGCGGUAAUUCCAGCUCCAAUAGCGUAUAUUAAAGUUGUUGCAGUUAAAAAGCUCGUAGUUGAAUUUCGGGAUUGACACAUCGGUCGUGCCUUAAGGGGUAUGAACUGGUGUAGUCAAUUUCUCACCUUCUGGAGAACCGCGAUGCCCUUAAUUGGGUGUCGCGGGGAACCAGGACCUUUACUUUGAAAAAAUUAGAGUGUUUAAAGCAGGCAUUUUGCUUGAAUACAUUAGCAUGGAAUAAUAAAAUAGGACGGCAUGAUUCUAUUUUGUUGGUUUCUAGGAUCACCGUAAUGAUUAAUAGGGAUAGUUGGGGGCAUUAGUAUUCAAUUGUCAGAGGUGAAAUUCUUGGAUUUAUUGAAGACUAACUACUGCGAAAGCAUUUGCCAAGGAUGUUUUCAUUAAUCAAGAACGAAAGUUAGGGGAUCGAAGACGAUCAGAUACCGUCGUAGUCUUAACCAUAAACUAUGCC